CUCAUCAGAACCAACCCUCGUUGUCUUUGUGCUGUCGUGCUUUCUCCUUUGGCCAAAAACGCUGGAAUCAAUCCUGGAGUCGCAAUCGCUAUUCCCAAACGUUGUAACAUCCGCAACCGCCCAGCUGGCAAGCGAUGUGGACGUAUGGAUUCAUCUAAAUCUCAUAAGUAAUGUAUAAUAUAUGAAGUUCUCGACUUACCUUUUACAUGCCUUUAUGUGUUUUUGCAGGUUACAUUGUUCCAUGAAGAUUUAACUUCGCUUUGGAUCUUUUAGG
This 274-nucleotide long non-coding RNA is filed under the name Brassica napus (rape). Its description in RNAcentral is "long non-coding RNA (BNAP_LNC016550)". The record is from RNAcentral. Lineage: Eukaryota; Viridiplantae; Streptophyta; Magnoliopsida; Brassicales; Brassicaceae.